Molecule: ribosomal RNA, 502 nt
Filed under: uncultured bacterium
Lineage: Bacteria
Description: partial 16S ribosomal RNA
Rfam family: Bacterial small subunit ribosomal RNA
Source: RNAcentral
GACGAACGCUGGCGGCGUGCUUAACACAUGCAAGUCGAACGGUGAAGGGGUCUGCUUUUGUGGGCCCUGGAUGAGUGGCGAACGGGUGAGUAACACGUGAGUAACCUGCCCCCUUCUUCUGGAUAACCGCAUGAAAGUGUGGCUAAUACGGGAUAUUCUGGGUCUGUCGCAUGAUGGGUCUGGGAAAGAUUGCGCCUUUGGGUGUUUUUGGUGGGGGAUGGGCUCGCGGCCUAUCAGCUUGUUGGUGGGGUGAUGGCCUACCAAGGCGGCGACGGGUAGCCGGCCGGAGAGGGGGGACGGUCACACUGGGACUGAGGCACGGCCCAGACUCGUACGGGAGGCAGCAGUGGGGAAUAUUGCACAAUGGGCGCAAGCCUGAUGCAGCGACGCCGCGUGAGGGAUGGAGGCCUUCGGGUUGUAAACCUCUUUCGCCAGUGAAGCAGGCCUGCUCCGUGUGGGUGGGUUGACGGUAGCUGGAUAAGAAGCGCCGGCUAACUACGUG